Pelobates cultripes (western spadefoot toad) is the source of this 234-nucleotide non-coding RNA. The record is from the annotation of a GenBank genome assembly. NCBI's taxonomy places the organism in Eukaryota, Metazoa, Chordata, Amphibia, Anura, Pelobatidae.
GUUUAAAAGUAAGCAAGUUUUUGUAUGGAGUAUUUAUGUGUGAAUGUAGAGGGUGUAUUUUUGAGUAGUUUUGUGUUAGGUGUUUUUAUGUACUGUUGCCAUUUGAUACAGCUGAGUGUUUACUUGUGUGUAGUGUUUGUCUGUGAAGAGGUGUAACUGUAUGUAGUGUUAGUGUAUGAUUGCAGGGAUAGUUUUGUGUGCAAUGUUGGAGUUUGAAUUCUCAGAGUUAUGCAC